This is a long non-coding RNA of Cebus imitator (Panamanian white-faced capuchin), 15985 nucleotides long. RefSeq lists it as uncharacterized. NCBI's taxonomy places the organism in Eukaryota, Metazoa, Chordata, Mammalia, Primates, Cebidae. The record is from RefSeq and is a predicted model, not a curated record. The transcript has 3 exons.
GCUUUUGCUAAAAACAGAAUAAAUCAUAAUACGGUGCAAUUUUCAUUCAACUGGGAGGGUAUUUUCUAGCAUGCUUCUCUCCUCUUGCUUCCCAAUGUUGGCUUAAUGUGGAGCAUUCCAGCUCUUCCUGUACCUAGGCAUCCUGCGAAGAGUCCCCAGAGAGUCAUAUCCCACCAGAACCCAAAUAAUUUGGCCAGCCAUGUAUAUGCCUGAUAAUCAUGCCCAUUUUCCAAAGGAUUUUGUCAUUUAUUGGACUAACAUAAACAUAUUUUUUUUAAAUGUUCAGUAUGUAAAGUUUUUCAAGUUAUUUUCUUUGGAGGACUCACCCCUACUAUUUAUAGCCAGCAAGUUACCUUGUAUCCUAUAAUGUCUGAUCACAAUUAAGUCAGCUAGAAACAUCUCCACAGUGACUUAGCUAUGACUAAUGAGUAAAGAAGUUCAUCUUGGGAAAGCGAAUGACUAAGUUGCAAAGGAAGCAUUUAAACAUCUGAACAAGGCUCUGUUCACACCUCUCCUUGUUGAUGUUUUUCAUUCUUUCCACAACAGCCAAAGAAGAGAAAAGGAAGAGGCAGAAGUUUGGACCACAGUGUGUGAUAGUUCUGAGGUGGAAUUCCUAUCUUUCCAUUUGGAGACCUCCUCUUGCUAAAGCCAAGAGGAGACCCAGGCACGAAGUAGCAGCAAAUGCAGAGAAUCUUAUCCGGACACAAGUAGCAAUAAAUUCAUCCUUAAAAUGUAUAGUGUUACCAUGAAUAGUCAUUCUGAGCUAAAAUCCAGAAAACCGUUUUGUUUCUUUAGCGAGGAUACCUGGCCACCUCUAAUGCAAUGAUACAGACUCCAACAAUCUCUUCUUAAGGCCCUGAGAAGAUUUGGCCCUGAGGAAAAGAUUUAGCAUAUCGGACAGCAAAGAAGCCAUACUUAAGGAAGUGUUCUACUAACAUCUUUUACAAGGAAUAAAACUGACUAUAUAGCAAGAUAAAGUGAGAGAAAAUGCAACGUGCUAUACUGAUUUUGUAGUCAGCAAAAGUUAAUGAAUUGCAGAUCACGAGCAACUCAAUGUAAAACCACAGUGUGUGCAUGUUAUGAAAUUACUCCACAAAAGAUUGCUUAAGCAAAUUUACAAUGAAAAACAACAUCAAAACACCAAGGAAGUGAAAUGAAUAUAAAUAUGAAGCACACUUAAACACCCAGGACGCUUAUUUUAAGAAGGAGGAAAAAAAGCUCCUCAACCUUCAAUGACUUUUAUAAACUAUAAAGAAGGAUCAGAUAAGCAUCUAGGUCUUCUAUAUAACAAUAUAUAUUUUACACAAGCAAGUAAGUCCAGCUACAGAAAAUUGAUCUUCUAUUGCCCCUGCAGCCUUGCAGACAGCAUGCAAAAAUCCAUCCAUGGACAGUCUUCAAAGGGUCAAAGUGAAUACACAACACCUGGAGAUGAACAAGAAAAAUUUAAAUAGGGCCCAUGGGUCUCUAAAGAGCAGUUUUUAACUGGCCUAUAAGCUAAUAAGAGUGGUUAUAAACUGUGAACAACCAAUGCCCUACAUGAAGGAACAUUUAUCAUACUAACAUGCCUGUAAAGUGGAGAGGGUUCAUCCGCACGCUCUCUGCAGUUUCUAUUAGAAUGUUAAUUGUUCAUACUGAAGAAAAGGAGACAUAAGGAAUGGCUUUUACCAUCAUGUGUUAAGUUUAUUUUUGUUCCUCUGACCAGUUCCCAAGGGGCAGGAGGCUAAUGACUGUUCUUCAUCAUCAACUGCAAAGGAUAUUUACAUCCAUCCUGUAACCAUGACAGCUGUGUCACUAAUUCCCUAACUACCUCCACCACAUGAACCAAUCAUCUGGCAUGAAGCUGCAAGAUGGAGUGCCCUGCAGUCAUUAUUCACCAAGCACUUUCAUUAACAAACUGCCCUUAAUUACAGUGGUAAUUGCAAAAUUAUUUCAUAGCAGCAAUUAUUUUUCUCAGCCAAUCCAGGCUAUUUAAGUAGGACACUGCCUAUGAAAAUGGCAUAAGUCCAAGUAAUCUAUGACCAAGGAUAUGUUUUAAUUGUACUACCAACUUAGUUUCAAAAUAUUGCAUCAGAGGGCUAUGAAAUUACAUUAUACAUCCCAUUACACACUACACACACAAACGCGCGCGCGCACACACACACAUCAAUAAAAGAAAAGCAAACCUUCCCUACUUUUUUUAAUUUGAAAGUAAAAUGCAUACAUAACAUUCACAUCAAGUACCUAAACUAAAGCCAUUGUCCAGCAAAGUAAAAAAAUGAGCCUCUAGAUCUAAACUUACAUUUUCAGAACUGCUGAACAAACUAACCUAUCCAUUAGAAAUACAUCAACUCCCUUCCAUCCAUUCCUUUUACUUAAAAGCCCUUUGUUCUUUCAUAUUCAUAUGUUUAGAUACUCAGCUAUGAUGAGAAAUACUGGAAUACCUGUCCGUCUGUUGGCCUCAUAAAUAAAAUCACAAAGGAGUUUCCAGAAAUCACAUCCUAAUGUUCAAAAUUAUAGGCUGAAAUGCAUCUAUGCUUACUUUCCUCAAGUUUCAAUGUGAAAAUUCAUAAAAAUUUACCCUGAAGAUGAAACUCGAGUCAUAAUGUCCGAUUUGGGGAAUAGCGAAUUUUCAGUGAAGUUAGAGUACAAGAAAUGCGUGAUCUGGAGACUAGAGAGAUGUGGUCAAAUCAAGAUUAAGCCUUUAAUACCACAAUCAGACUAUAUGAAGACAUGAAUACUAUUCUAAGGAGUUUGGAUGUGAUCUGGUAGAUAGUGAAAACGUGUAAAAGGCAAGGAAAGAAGACAACUUGAAUUCAGAUAGUGGGAAUGGAAAUUGAGGGACAGGUUUGAGAAAUCCAUGAACAAUUUUGCAGGGAGAAUUAUACUUGAUGACUUUUAGGUACAGACAGCAAUGAAGACAUAUUCAAAGACUGCUCUGAGGUUUCCAGCCUGUUGGAAUAGGUAGGUGAUGAGCUAGGUAAUGCAAUAAGGAUCUGUAAUACACAUGAGUAUUUUAACUAUCUAUAGGACAUUAAUCUAGAGAUAUUAAGGAAGUAGCAAGAAUAGUAAUUAACAUUUAUCGCUUAUUUAUAUCCCAGAUGCUGUACUUAAUGCAUUAGAUGCAUUAACUUACUGAACACUCAAAACAAUAGGAUCUUGAAUUAGAUCCUGUUUUUACAAUCAUUUUUAUAGACAAGAAUCCUGAGGCUCAAUGAGAUGAAAGGGUCCAAGGUCACUAUGGCACAGAAUGCUAGUUGCCUUGCAAAUAUCCAUUCUUCUCUCUGUCCUUGGUAACAGAACCCAUCUUUUUUAGCUGUGUCUGGUAAAGAUAACAUUUCUACCUCCCUCACAUCUAGGUCAUGAGCUUUAAGAGGACGUGUUGCAUGGGCUGGGAAAGAAACUGGUUCUGCCAAAAGAAGCUCUUUGUCUUUCCUGCUGCCUAAUAGGCAGCCGCACUGGCAAAAGCUCCAUCUUGGACCAUGAAUGACCUUCAGGAAAAGGGUCACCAACUGAGGAUGGUGAAGCAGAAAAAAGGCGGCUAGAUUCUUCAAAAUUUUGUGGAAGCACCAUACCUGCCCUGGAUUGCCCAUCUCUCUACUUCUUUGGUGGUGGGGGGGACCCAAAACCAAAACCAAAAAAAAAACAACCAACCAAAAACAACAUUACUAUUUAAAUCACUGUUUUGGUAAUUUUGCAGAAAGAAUUAUAUUCCCAUUUACUCAGUAUACAGGUAACCAGGCAAUCCUUUGGGAGACAAAAAGAACUCCUAGAUGACACAGUCACACAGCUAAUAAGUAGCAUAGCCAGAAAUUGAAGGCAAUUCUUUGAUUCUAAAUUCUAUAAUCUUAACAAAAGGGCCGGACUGCUCAAGGGAGCAGUUGAGGCUACAGAUGCAGAUUGUCAAUUAUUGGUUUAUGUACAUCCUGACAGAUUUUGUUACUUCUUCUAUUAUAAAAAUAAUGCAAAAUAGGCAUCAUCAUUCGAAAAGGAAGGUAUUGUCAUUAGAUAAGUCAUAUAGAUGAUGAAGCAUUAACAUCUUACCAAUUUUAGAGAACUAAAAUAAAAAUAAAUAAUCCUAACAACCCUAAAAUUAUCAAGCAUAAUUUUAUCUUCCUGUUGGGGAUCCUGUAGUGUAUUUUUACUAAACAGAGCUACAAAAGAAUCAGCAAGUUACCUAUAUGCUGAGUAAAUGGGAAAAAAUCUAUUUUCAUCUUUUCUAAAUUUUAUUUAUUUAUUCAUUCAGUCAUAUAUUUUUUAGCGACAGUAUCUCGCUUUGUCACUCAGGCUGGAAUGCAGUAGUGCGAUCAUAGCUCACUGUAGCCUAAAAUCCUGGCCUUGGGCGAUCCUCUCGCCUCAGGCUCCCGAGUAGCUGGAACUGCCAGUACAUGCCACCGUGGCUCACUAAUUUCUUUAAAGUUAUUUUUUGUAAGGAUGAGGUCUCUCUAUGUUGCCCAGGCUGGUCUGGAACUCCUGGGCUCAAGCAAUCCUCCCGUCUUGGCAUCCUCACUUUGGUGCUGGGAUUAUGGGCAUCAGCUACCAUGUCAAGCCCUUUCCUAAAUUUUAAUUAGAUGAAAAUCUAGUUCUAUAAAGAAAUGAAAUACCAAUGAUUUUGCAGUAAAGUGUGUUUCCAUAUAAAUAUAAAUUGCAAUUUCUUGUGUCAGAAUCUUGAAUAAUUUAUAGGAUUAAAUCAGUUAUUAUUUUGAAUUUCCUAUGCAGGUAGGUGUUCAUAGUAUUUCCCUAUACUAUAUUAUAAACUAGUAUUAAAUAAAACAAUAAUAUUUUAUUCCUACAAGAAGAAUUGUAAAAUUAAUGUUUAUAUCUUCAGUUUUAUCUUGAAUGCUUGAGUAUCCUGAAGUUGGUGGGAAUCCAGGAAAAAAAUGUUUCAUUUAAUUAAAUAUAAGUCAGGUCUCCAAGCAGAAGGAUGAUGUAGUCACAUGUUUUGUGAUGAAAAUACCUCUAAAAAUCGAAGGAAAGAGAUCUUUUAUGUAAUUUAGGGGAAAAAUUAAUGUGAGCCUUUCCAAAGAGAAUUUAUAUUCUCUUGUUAAAAUAUUAUUUUUAAAUUUCAUUAUUUUACUAGAAUUCCAAAUCUAGUCUUCCUUUGUAGCAAAGACAUAAGACAAAUGAUUAUUCUAUCUAAAGCAACCAUUGCUAUAUUUUUAAAAAUCCACAUAGUUCAUACUUUUAACAACAUUACAGCCAGUAAGUGAAUGUAUUUCAUUUUGAUGAUUUCAUAUAUUGCAUUAAUGAGAAAAAUUGAGGCAUAUUAUCUUAGGAUCUAAAAUAUUGUGCAAUUGUAAGUUUUAUGCCAGCCUUCAAGUAAUUCAGUUUUUCAAAGACAGUAAAGGGAAAAGAAUCUGACCUAGACAGUCUCUCCCUUAACAAUGAAAGUAAUUCCACUUAACAAUUUGUUUUUCUUCCUGAAGAGUUGCAAGAUUGGUAAGAAGCACUGGAUUAAUUCUAUAUUCUCUCUGCUUAGGUAUGUUUUCAACAUCCUAUGGAAUAAAUAUGCUAGUGGUAAGUACACAGUACUUGGGGAAAGAUGCAUUUUGUAGGACACUCUAGACCCUCUGUAGUGACUAAAAGCAAACAUAAUAAAACAAUCUGACAUGAAUUCAGUGUUUCUCCAUUUACCAAAACUUCUUUGAGCACUUUAAUACAUGCAAAUGAUAUUCCGAUGCAUUUUUAAUGUUUGACCCAGAUUACACAAAAGAAUACUAGGGUAACAAAAAACUUCGUAUACUUCAUCUGCAAAUAUUGGAAAGUAAAGAUAGGUGGUAAACUGCUACAUCCAUUAUGUCAUGGAUUCCUCUCCUUAAUAUCCUAGUUCCAAUAGCUGCUAACUACUAAAGCUUCCUGUGGUGUUCAGAUCCUGUUGUAAACUGUCCUCCAAGAUUGUCUGACUACAUUACGACAAUGGGUUUGUCUUCCUGACAAUUUUGCAACAGUGGUGUGAUACUCCAGGCAACAUUCUGUAGGGUUAGAGUGAUGCUUGAGGGAGCCAGUGGAAUGCCAUCAUCACCCACAAAUGCACCAUCUGCUGUGUCUUACUGCUUAAUUAAACUAAAACUGGUAGGUUCUUAAUUCUCACAGCUCAUAAAAAUAAAGGUCACAACAGAGCACUGGCAUCAUGCAUCAUCCACAUAACAUACAGUCACUAAAGUACAUUUUGCCAACCUAUCACUCAAAAGAAAAAAGAAAUAUACCAUCUAGCUGGCGUCAAAGCAUAGAAGGAUUCUAUCAGACUGACAUCAGAUCAAUGACAGGACAGCUGAACUGUCAGCCUAAGUGAGCAGGAGGACAGAAGCUUCAAUGCGUGGCCAUUGUUCUUUACCUGUCUCCUGUAGCACUUGCCAAAAAAAAUUCUUCCACACACUGUAACAAGACCUCUUGUGAACUUUUUUGCUAAAUCACCCAUUCAUUCAUUCUUCAACCAUUUAUCAAAAGCUUACAUAUGCAAGGGAUUGUGUUUAGUAUUUUGGUUGAUGCAAAAAUGAAUCUGAGGCAAGCUGUUAAGUCUAUAUAGCUGCCAAAGACUUCAUUAGAUAUAGUCUUAUGUCAAGUAUAUAUAACACUUUUAUUGAGAUAUAAACACACCAAUUUAUAGUGUAUAAUUCAAUGGUAUUUAAUAUAUUCAUAGAGAUGUGCAACUAUCACCAUUACCUAAAUUCAGAACAUUGUUUUCAACCCAAAAAGAAACUUCAUAUCCAUUGAUAGUCACUUCUUGUUCGCCUCUUAUCCCAACUCCUGGCAACCACUAAUCUACUUUCUGUUUCUAUACCUUUUGACUUUUCUGAAGAUUUCACAAAAGUGAAAUCAUACAAUAUGUGGCCUUUGGGCUUUUUCCACUUAGCAUAAUGUUUUCAAGGCUCAUCCAUGUCAUGGAAUGUAUCAGUACUUCAUUCUGUAUGAUGGUUGCAUAAUAUUCCAUUGUAUGGCUAUACCACAUAUUGUUUAUCAAUUAAUGGAUAUUGGGUGUUUCCAUUUUUUUUGUUAUUAUGAAUCAUGCUGCUUAAUAAUAUAAUAUUCAUGUACAUGUUUUGCACAGACUCGUUUUAAUUCUGUUGGGCAAAUAGCUAGGAGUGUAAUUGCUGUGUCAUAUUGGUAACUCUGUGUUUGACACUUUGAGGAACUGUCAAGCUGUUUCCAAAUUGGCUGCACCAUUUUACAUUACCACUAGCAACAUAUAAGAGCUCCAGUUUCUCCACAUUCUUGCCAACACUUAUUUUUGUCUUCUUGUUAAAUUCUAGCUAUCCUAAUGGUUGUGAAGUGGAACCUCACUAUGGUUUUGAUUUUAAUUUCUCUAGUGACUAAUGACAUUGAACAUCUUGUCAUGCUUAUUGGUGAUGUGUAUAUCUUCUUUGGAUAAAUUUACUAUGUAUUUUGAGCAACUUUUAAUAAACUAUUUGGUAGAAAUACAUAAAAUAUUAUACCUGUAAUCUUAAAGCAAUAUGUGACAUUUCCCAACAAGCCACUAAUGUAUUUUCUUUCCCCGAAGUUCCUUUUGAUAUUUAAAUAGAAACUCUAAGAUAAUAUCUAAAAACAGAGAAGUCUUGAAAUUCCACAGCAUAAACAUGGAAGUGGGGUGCAGGAAAAGGUGGAUAAAAUUUCACUUGAUUAGAUAACUCUUUCAAGCCAAUAGCCCAUUUCCCAAAUCUAUUGAAAGUCAACUAGUAAGAAUUUCUGAAGAUAAAUGAUGUGAAAGAGGUUGAGGUACAGAAAAUUCAAGAAGAUAAAAUAAUGGUAAGAACAAUAGAGCACAAAUUCAAUUUCCAAUCAAGGAAAUUCAAAAAAUGUUACAAAGGUAAAGCAACUUACUUGGACUUAGUAGUAGAGAGGUAACUAAGAUAACUAAGAACUGAGAGAUAACUAAGAAUUAGUUCCUAGGACAGUGGAUGAUUAUAGUAUCACUUGCCCAAAGGAAGAGGGCGUAGGAGAAAGAGGUGAACAAAACAAAACAUAAAUAUUCUGAAGGAGGAUUCAUUAUACAGCAGUGGUUUCUGCUGCUCUUUUAAGAGAAGAGAUAUGAAAAAGGAAAAAAAAAAAUAAGUGGGAUCAAUCUAAUUUGGGCCACAAUGGAUUUGGUGUAGGAUAUGUAAGUUGCUGUUCUGGGAGAGAGAAACAGAUAGCCAUACAAAGAACCCAGAAAGUAGUCAGGAGACGGUCUGGGUUAUGGAUGCUGCAGGAAAAGGAAGAGCCACAGUCAUUCAGAUAUCAAGGAGAAAAACCCUGCCGCCUUCUUAACUCCUGUCAAACCAACUCACUCUAGUUUCAAACAAUGGGGAACAACUUAACUCAGUGAUAUAGUCAUAUGAGAUGCUAAUGAAUGAAAAUAAUUGAUCCUCAUUAUCUCUUCAAGAUCGUUAAUGCACCCGUAAAGGUAAUCACGUCUUCUUUUAUCAUGCAUCUUGAACUUUCUUUGCUAUGUAGGUUUUUAACUACCUAACAUUUUUCUCCAAAUAAUACAAAAGAAAACAUCAACAAUAAAAAUGAUAAUUUUGGUGCCACGUUCUCACCAACAAACAAAAGCAGCCAAAAUUGUGAAGAAGUCAGCACUACUACUUUUACAUGCUAUAUACUACCAAGCCCCGAUCGAUAAGUCUGUUCUCUCUUGUUGGUGUAUCCGUGGAAAAGGUGCAUGACAGCAGAAACAGAGACCUUAAAAAGCAAUUAAAGGUGAGGAAUCUCCUGCCAAACAGCUAGUACAGACGGAACCUUUUUUUCCAUAGAGCUUAGCCUCAUUCCACAGCCAAGAAAAAGCUUGAUAAGUACUAUAUGAUGAACAAGUGAUAAAAUUUAUGAAAACUGAGAUGAGGAAUGACCAAUGGGAGAAACAAGGUGCCACUCAGAGCCUGAAUGGGUUAUUGUGCUUCCUGUUUCCUGUAGGUGGCGCCAAACUCCUUGAAGAGGAAACAGAAAACAAAGUUAAAAGGCUGGUGUAUGUCUAGAUUGAAGCGCUAAAGAAUUUGCUUGUGAGUUGGCAAUUUCUCCUCCAAGGCAGCUCUUCAUCAGUGCUAUUGGCAAGCUCUAGAUUUCAGAAGUGAUUCACCUGCGCCGUUAUUUAUGAGCUGCCUUUUCUCCUUUAAGCGCCCAGCUUACAUUAACAGUACCACCAGCUUCACUGCAGAGCUCAACCGUGCCUAUCACGUAAAUGGAAGGUUCGUUAAAGCAUCUAUUAAAGGGAUUUUCAAAGGCAAAACAGCAUUUUAAAGCCAUUAGCAUCCCUUAUGUUAGGUUCUAUUGAAGAAAUGUUACCAAACUGCUAUCUAAAACCAUCAACCAGAAAUAGCCAUAAAGUCACUAGACAAUCCCUUGGAUUCUCUACCCAGAGGGCUCUCACAACCCUAUAUGCUCCCUAUCUUUCAGGCCUUGGAGUGAGAGAGCAUCAACAUGACUUCUAGGAGCAUGUCCCAGAUGUGCAUCUCCUGGAGGCAGCCAGGGGUUGGACAUCAGUCAUCAAUAAGGGUCCUUGCCAAAAAGAAGCUGUAGGGGUCCGCAAGGAAGCAGGAGGCUUGGUCAAACUGGAAUAAAAGCAGUAUGAAGAGAAGGGUGUGUCUUGGAGGGCAUACACAGGCAAGCAAGAAUUAGAUAUUAUGUACUAGGUUUUCACUAUUAUUCUCAAGAUCCAAUUUUUGUAACAGACAUUUUCUGCCAACCUCCUAAAAUUUUUAAACAACAGCAGCCAAGACUGACUUCUACUCGGCACAAUUACAUAAGACCAAGCAGUGUGUUGCUCUCAUUUUCGAAGCUUUGUUUUAAGCUCCCUCAUUAAUCUUUCAGUCUUUUCCCAUCUCUGCCUGACUAUAACUGCCCUGAAUUUAUCCAAGCCUGCAGAAUGCCAGGCUCACUGGAGUCUAAAUCACCAAGAGCUGAAUACACAUUCUACUCAUGGGACUCUACACUUCCAUCAGAAGGAACCAAUCACAGCUUAGGAGAGGAUUCAUUCAUCCAGAAGACUGAACAAAAAGUACAUUUUUGUCUGGAAUACAUAAGAAAUUAUUUUUAACUUAAUUAAAAUGGCUUGUUAGAAUCACCUAUUCAGCAUGUGGAAAACCAGCUGGGUUAUCCUGUCAAACCUCUGCACAACAUACCUACUGAGACCCAACUUCACGAUUAGAAAGCAAGAGAGUAUAGUGAUGCAAACUGAACUCCGGAACAAGAGUUCAAACUACGGCACUAUCUCCUACCAGCCUCAGGUGACCAACCCUCAAUGUCCUCAUUUGUAAAGUGAAGACUGUGUUAGUAACUAUCUCAUGGAUUACUGGAAGAUUAAAUAAAAUUAUGCAUACAGAGUACCAGAUACAUUAUUGGCCAAGUGUCUCUGAUAUGAAGACAUCCAGAACAACAAUCCAAAUUAACCUUUUGAGAGCCUAAAAAUUAGGACUUAUUUAAGUCUCUUCUGAUUUCUGCCUUCCCCAACAUUUACUACCAUGUUCAUUACUGCAUGCUAAUCUCAACAUUUUUUCCAUAGCUUACAUCAUGACAGAUGUUUUGUCCAGAUUUCACAGUAAAUUUAAUGGGCGAGAAACAGUGCAAUUAUUUAUAAAGUUAUUGUUUGUAGACGAAAUUACAUUUUCCAAGAAUAUAGCUAGUUAAGUUAUAUAUGUCUUUAUUCCUUCAAUAAGUAUUUCUUUAGUGCCUAUUAUGCACCAUAACAGGUGAAUCACAUACUUUUGCAAAAAGACAAGGCAAUACCUUAUGUGCUAAAUUCUCCCGUCUGCCUGCAUCACACGGUUGUUUGAAAGGAAUGUUACAAUUUUUAUGAGUCAACUUAAUUAUAUACUAUCUAAAUAUAAAUAUGUACAUACACAUGCACACUACAUACAUAUUUAAAACCCAGUCUCUUUUGGGAAGACAAAAGACCUUUUAGUGGGCUAAAAAAGUCCCUUUGAAAGUUGUCAGUAUAUCUUAUGGAAUGUGCUAAGGAAAGAAAAUAGAGCGAUUCUGUUUUUCUGUAGCUGGAUGAGAUUAUGGUGUUUUAUUUGAUUCUGUUUUCUGUAUUAACUUUUAUAGGCAUCCUGUUUUUUACUUCUGUUAGUUAUUUUUAUAACUUUAAUAAACUUUCAAUAAAUUUUAAUGAACUAUUAAAUUUAAAUAAAUAAAUUUUAAUAAACUUUCAACCGGUAUUUAACUACUCUCAACAUAUUCCCAAAAGAUCACUUUAGUCUCUUUUAAAUGAAGGACAAAUAAUUUAGCACUUUUAUACUUCCUUACUCUACCUUCAAGUUUUCCAAUUAAAAAAAUAUCAGAAUAUUUUUCAGUUUUGAUUUAUAAUUAGAAAGCUUGCCUGGAAUAUGGUAUGGUAAAUCAGUACCCAAGAUCAGGUCUCUUUUAGAACUGAAAAAUAUCCCUCCAAUAGUUAUCACAGUGGACUCAUUUGUUUUGCUGUGUCUUCCACAAUAAUCCCCAUCAGUUCUGGGUUGGAUCUGUGUCUUUCGAGGCUUCUUUGUUGCAGUCUGGGCAUUUUUUUGAAGUCUAUCCUCUAUCACCCUGAAAUAGGAGAGUUCCCUGACCCUCCUCCCAGGACAUGCAACAGGGGUGUGGCUCCUCUGUUGCGCUGUUGCAUCCUCAAACACCUUACAGGAGUGGGGGCACACAGACAAGCAGGUGCAGGAGCCAGGGAGAGUGAUUUGGGGAACUGGUCCCACAGUAGUGGUAGCGUCUAGGGCUGAGUGCCUGUGACUCCCAAAGCCCCAGUGGGUGUGCUACAAUGCUCUUUUAGCUCUGCUGUCCACAGACUGCUUAAGUGUUACCCAGCUCAGUGCCCUCUUGGUACCUGGGUUUUUGUCCAGCAUCCAGGAAGAAUCAGGUCACACAAAUUGAAGGAUGGUAAAUGCGGGGGAUUUUAUUGCUGGAUGGAGAUGGCUCUCAGCAGGAUGGAUGGCGAGCUGGAAAGGGGAUGGAGUGGGAAGAUGACCUUCCUCUGGAGUUCAAUUGUCCCAUGGCCCAUCUCCUCUCCCACCGUCCUCAGCUGAACUCCUCAGUGUUCAGAUGCUCCUUCUCUUCUCUCCUCUGCCAAGGCAUUCUGCUGCUCUUCUGCUCCUCUGCUCUUCUGCUUGUGGAGCCUAGGAUUUGGAGUUUACAUGGGUACAGAAUAGCGGGGUGCAGCAGGCCAAAAGACAACACUUGGGUGUCAAACAGGAAUGCCUGUUCCCAUUUAGGACCAUGGGUUUCUGGGCUUAAGGGUGGAGACUUUGCCAGGGAACUACCCUCUUUUAGCCAGUAUUUCCCUGCUGUCUGUCCAAAUCAACUGGAUGAAUUUUCUAAGUCAGCUUUUUAUUUACAGUGAAGAUUUAUUGUAUCUAGUUUAAUCUUCAUUUCAUUUUACUCUUUUUAAAAUUCUCAUUUACUAGAUGUAAACUCUUUAGGUGUCUUACUGAGUUUACAAAACAGAGCUUUUCUAACUGUUUCAUAAAGCAAAAUUGUUUCAGAAAGACAUGCUACAGAUCUCUACAAUGUCUUUGCUUUGGAGCUAUAGAAUUUUGUUUUAAUUAUUCAUCUAUAAUACAUGAUUUCUUUUUUACAUCUUUGGGCUUGGUUUGACAUUGGCCUUUAGUGCUUACCAUGCUUGAAGACUGCUUUUAAGUCCUUCCUAGCAAUUGACUUACAUUAAUAAGUUAGAUGCGUGUCUUCGGUGCCCUACAUGUGCUAAGUACUAUCCUGGGUGUUGAGGAUUCAAUAAGAAGGAAUCUACUCCCAUCCCCAUCUCUUCCUUCCCCACCCUCAUGAAGCUCAGUCUUCUGGAGGAGACAACAAAAUCCCACACUAGCAACUGAAUAUAGAGGUCUUUGCAGAUGCCCUUGUGUUCAAAGUGGAGCCAAAGGAUGACUGGAAGCAGGUGCCGAUCCUGGUUCUUGACUUUCAAACAUCUAAAGUCACAGACCAGCCCAGAACCUGGGUGAGAGUCAGAAGCCAGUUCAAUGAGAACCACUUCCACCCUAUCCAGAAGCUGAGUAAGUCAAAGAAGGAGCAGGUUAGCAGCUGUUACCAAAUCCACUAACACUCAGCAGCACUGGAAAUGAGCAAAAGGGAAACUGGCCAGUACAUGUUGAACAGGAUUCCAUGACUAGCAGCUGAAACAGGGAAGAGAGGAAGAGGAAUCAGGUUGCAGGUUGGGGGCCUGGUUAAGAAGGAGCAACUCCAUCUGAUUUCAACUACAGCAAAGAAUGUAAAAUUCCUUCCAGAAACUAGAAUGGGCUCAAUGCCUGACACUCAUUAUGGUUACUUCCGGGGAUUUGUUUUUUUUUUUUAGACAAUUUCAUGGAUAUUUUAAAGGAAAUAAGGAAGACAUUGUUCAUAGCACUUCCACACACUCUACUAUAUUCUUGGAAGUCAGUGGUUCAAUCUCAAAUGAAACUUCUCACUAACAUUAUGUUCAGUUAUUUAUGCUCCCUAAACAAUGAAUGUUUUUAGGCAAAGAUUUCCUAGCCUUUCCAACUGAACAAAAGAGCCUCCCACACACAGAGACACACAUUUCCAUUCUGAAAGCCCUGCAGGCAGAUCUGUGAAGCUUGCCAUCAUAAGACUCAUUUAAUUUUAAAUUAAAUUAAGGGCCCAAAAGGUAAGCACAUUGUUCAGGUUAUUCCAACUAAUGUCCUAAACUUACAAUUUCAAUGAUUCUCCAUCCAAUUGAUGACUCCUGCUAUAAUAAAGAAUUCAUGAACCAUGGAAACAACUGACAAAAAUAAAAUAAAUAAAUAUCACUCAUGGCUUAGAAGAAAAAGCAUUCACACAGUCCAGUUCCUAACUCAAAGAGAGUAAAUAUGUGCAGGAAAUUUUUAUCAAGAUUUUACCAAGUCUAUAGCUGUAAGGAAAAAAAAAGGGGGUACAAAGGCUGCCUUUCUAAUAAAAAUAAAAGUAUGAAGGACCCAAAUUUCUGACCACUAUCACGUGACAGAUAUAUAAAUAUUCACAUAAGCAGAACUAGUUGAGAUGGUAAAAUGUAACUAAAAUGAAAUAGUCUUUUUUUUUUCUUUUUUUUUGAGUUCAACACAGCCCUAAGGUUUCCCCCUCCCUGGGUGGGGAAGAUUCUGAUGGAUUUCUUUAUUAUACAUACAUUUAUUGAUCCAAUUGUCCCAGUUUUUAUGAAGUUUACUAACAAUACUGAGGUGCCUGAAUAUAAGAAGGGGUAAAAAAAGAAAGAGAAAAGAACCUGAGUUGGAAAUUCUCAAAGAAUACUGUAUGAGGAAGUCUACAGGGUAAGCACAAUCAUUACUGAACCAUCUGAUUAGCUGUGGGCUGAGUAUGGAAACAGGAAUUCAAAGAGAGUUGCUAGUCUCUUCCCUCCCCAGUCUUCCCACACUGGAAAACAAGGACAGAAUAAGGAAUGGAGCGGAAGAAGAGAAGACAGGUUCAGGAGAAUCAUAGAUGGGGCAGGUAGAAGUUAGAAGGCCAUUUCAAAGAGGACACUAAUAGAGUUUGAAAUAUUGAAAGUGGAGCAGAUCUAUUAGGUGUGGCAUGUGUGUGCACAGCCAAAGUGAAAUGAAGAUGAAGGUCGUUUUAGCUGAGGGAUUUAAAGAACUAUGAGAUCUGGGUAUUAGUAAAGCCAUCAAAAGGAAUCCGCUAUUCACUAAGGAUUCUGCAUUGAAUCAGUGAGGAAAAGGUGAGCUGAUCUUGAAGCAACCAUGGUCCCAGAAGUGUUAUUAGGGAAGUGCGGUGGGGCAGGGGUGGUGAGAGGUAUGUAAAGUUGGAAUGGUAUGGCGCUUACAUAUGCUUGAUAACGUGUCAAUUUCCACAUCUAAGAAUGGAGAAGAUCACAUUGAUUACAGGGGAUUACCCUUAACCCAUCUUUUGCUUGAUGCCUCCACUGAGUAGAAGGUGGAUUCGAGCGGUACAACUACUUUAUGUAAAUUUAAUGAAUUUAAAGUCCUUGAGAAAUAAGAAUGGAAAUAACCUGACAGUAAAAAAAUAUAUAUUUAAUCCCUACUUGUCAACUCAGGAAUAAAGAGAAUGGGAAGGAAAAGUGAUGUUCCUUGGCCACUCCUGGAUCUCCCUGCGUUUCCCCAAGAGCAUCACUCCAGCCAAAGACCAGCUGACAUUUUCUCCCCAGGCAUGCUUCACUUCUCACUCUACAUACCCUGUGUGAGGUCCUCCUUACCUCACCAGUCCCAGACCAGAUCUUCCAAUUGCUUACUGGUCUUUUCUUCCUCAUGUCCCAUCGGUUCUUCAAAAUCAAAGCUUUUUACCAAAUUCAUCCCCUCUUUUCCAAUCUGACUGCAACAAACUUAGGACCAACCAUCUUUUCUCACCUGAUUUUCCAAAUGGUGUCCUAACUAGCCUCCUACUCCCCUAGAAUAGCCUCUAUACUAUCAACAGGGCAAUCUCUCUAAAGGACAAUCUGAUCAGAUCACUUAAAACCCUCAAUGGCUCCUAAUGCCUAUGGGAUGAAGCACAAAGCCACUUAAGCUCUGAGUCAUGCUCUUCUGUUCAAAGAGAGAGAGACAGAGAGAGAAAGAAUGCCCGACAUGCCUCCGUCAAAAUCAUUGGGAGGAUCAAAUAAAAAUGUAUGGAGAAGCACUUUCAAAACUAUAAAGCUUAUCUAGUGGUUCUUAGUCUUUAUGAGGUCACAGUCCCUUUGGAGAGUCUGAUAAAAGCUCUGGAGUUUUCUCAAAACCACAAACACAUACAUCCACCUACACAUAAAAUUUGGCAUCCAAUUUCAGAGCAUCCAUGGUUCCUCAAAGACAAUCUUGAUCAAGAACCCUUACUUAGGUAUUUUAUUAUUUUCAUAUUGGUACGUAGAAUUGGAGUCAGUAUCAUCUUGAUAGCAUUUCCAGCCUUACAAACAAGCAAGCAGUUCUCCUGUGGGCAGUCAGAUUAUUCAUGAAGAUGUCUAAAAUAUUCAUCAGCAGGGUCAUUGGGCACAUAGUGAAUAUAGGCAGAAAAUUAGUACAGUAGUUAGCUCACAGUCAUUUCAUCAGAGUGCAGCUGUCCCUACACACAACUGCUCGAAAAGAACAGGUUAUUUUGAAAACAAUCAGCUGAAUUGAGACCAAAAAAAAAAAAAAAA